Molecule: ribosomal RNA, 230 nt
Filed under: uncultured bacterium
Lineage: Bacteria
Description: partial 16S ribosomal RNA
Rfam family: Bacterial small subunit ribosomal RNA
Source: RNAcentral
UUAGCGGCGGACGGGUGAGUAACGCGUGGGAAUAUACCCUUUGGUACGGAAUAGCCUCGGGAAACUGGGAGUAAUACCGUAUGUGCCCUUCGGGGGAAAGAUUUAUCGCCAAAGGAUUGGCCCGCGUUGGAUUAGGUAGUUGGUGAGGUAAUGGCUCACCAAGGCUCCGAUCCUUAGCUGUUCUGAGAGGAUGAUCAGCCACACUGGGACUGAGAUACGGCCCAGACUCC